Molecule: ribosomal RNA, 205 nt
Filed under: uncultured bacterium
Lineage: Bacteria
Description: partial 16S ribosomal RNA
Rfam family: Bacterial small subunit ribosomal RNA
Source: RNAcentral
AUCGGAGUCUGCAACCCGACUCCGUGAAGCUGGAUUCGCUAGUAAUCGCGCAUCAGCCAUGGCGCGGUGAAUACGUUCCCGGGCCUUGUACACACCGCCCGUCACACCAUGAGAGUUUGUAACACCCAAAGCCGGUGGGGUAACCUUUUGGAGCCAGCCGUCUAAGGUGGGACAGAUGAUUGGGGUGAAGUCGUAACAAGGUACC